Molecule: long non-coding RNA, 295 nt
Organism: Mizuhopecten yessoensis (Yesso scallop)
Lineage: Eukaryota; Metazoa; Mollusca; Bivalvia; Pectinida; Pectinidae
Exons: 3
Source: RefSeq, a predicted model, not a curated record
CCCCACUCAUAAUCACUCCAUUUUGAUUUUGUUUUCAGAAGAUAUCAAGAAGGCAUACAAAAAAUUAGCCUUGAAGUAUCACCCUGAUAAGAACCUGAACGAUCCUGAGGCAACACAAAAAUUUCAAGAGCUGAGCAAGACAUAUUUGGAACUGACAAAAUCAAGGGAGGCCUUUUGCUCACAUUGUGGCUGUGGAUGUGACUAUGAGUUUAGUGAUGAUGAGGAUGAUGAUGACGAUAAUUAUGAGGAUGAAGAAGAUUGGUACUUUGACAGCGAUAGUGAGGAAGCAGACGAG